RNAcentral lists this ribosomal RNA (319 nucleotides) under uncultured eukaryote. RNAcentral describes it as "partial 18S ribosomal RNA". It matches the Rfam family "Eukaryotic small subunit ribosomal RNA", at positions 1470 to 1796 of the family's 1831-position model. The record is from RNAcentral.
CCCUUAGAUGUUCUGGGCCGCACGCGUGCUACACUGAGUGGAUCAGCGGGUCAGGUUGCGCGAAAGUGUUUCCUAAUCUUUAAAUCCGCUCGUGAUGGGGAUUGACGGUUGCAAUUUUCCGUCAUGAACGAGGAAUACCUUGUAAGCGCGGGUCAUCAUCCCGCGCUGAAUACGUCCCUGCCCUUUGUACACACCGCCCGUCGCACCUACCGAUUGGAUGGUCCGGUGAAGCCUCGGGAUUGUGGCGGUUGCCUUUAUUGGUGGCCGCCGCGAGAACUUGUCUAAACCUUAUCAUCUAGAGGAAGGUGAAGUCGUAACA